GGCUGCAGAAUUUAUAACUGUACAAAGGUAGCAUAAUAAUUUGUUUUUUAAUUAAAAACUAGUAUGAAUGAUUAAAUGAAAUAUAAACUGUUUCAAUUAAAUAAAAAUUUAAAUUUUUAUUUAAGUUAAAAAACUUAAAUAAUUUUAAAAGACGACAAGACCCUAUAGAAUUUUAUUUAUUAUUUAAAAAUAAAAUUUAAUUAAUUUAAUUAAAUUUUAAUAAUAAAUUUAAUUGGGGUAAUUUAAAAAUUAAAAAAAUUUUUUUUAUAUAAAACAUUAAUUAAUGAAUAUAAAAUCUUAAAUUUUAAAUUAUUAAAAUUAAUUACCUUAGGGAUAACAGCAUAAUUUUUUUUAAAAGACCUUAUU
RNAcentral lists this ribosomal RNA (366 nucleotides) under Chorebus sp. 6 HX-2019. RNAcentral describes it as "partial large subunit ribosomal RNA". Lineage: Eukaryota; Metazoa; Arthropoda; Insecta; Hymenoptera; Braconidae. The record is from RNAcentral.